This 83-nucleotide small RNA is filed under the name Escherichia coli. Its description in RNAcentral is "partial RtT sRNA". It matches the Rfam family "RtT RNA", at positions 1 to 81 of the family's 130-position model. Rfam says of the family: This family represents a bacterial cis-regulatory element known as RtT RNA. The exact function of RtT is unknown although it is thought that it may be involved in changing the cellular response in relation to amino acid starvation. The record is from RNAcentral. Lineage: Bacteria; Pseudomonadati; Pseudomonadota; Gammaproteobacteria; Enterobacterales; Enterobacteriaceae. RNAcentral also lists the same sequence under 2 other names.
AUUCUGCCCAAGCGGGGAAGGAUGAGAAGCUUCGACCAAGGUUCGACUUGAGCGCCAGCGAGAGAGCGUUGCCGCAGGCAACG